RNAcentral lists this ribosomal RNA (489 nucleotides) under uncultured bacterium. RNAcentral's name for it is "partial 16S ribosomal RNA". It matches the Rfam family "Bacterial small subunit ribosomal RNA", at positions 30 to 506 of the family's 1533-position model. The record is from RNAcentral.
AUUGAACGCUGGCGGCAGGCCUAACACAUGCAAGUCGAACGGUAACAGGAAGAAGCUUGCUUCUUUGCUGACGAGUGGCGGACGGGUGAGUAAUGUCUGGGAAACUGCCUGAUGGAGGGGGAUAACUACUGGAAACGGUAGCUAAUACCGCAUAACGUCGCAAGACCAAAGAGGGGGACCUUCGGGCCUUUUGCCAUCGGAUGUGCCCCGAUGGGUUUAGCUAGUAGGUGGGGUAACGGCUCACCUAGGCGACGAUCCCUAGCUGGUCUGAGAGGAUGACCAGCCACACUGAAACUGAGACACGGUCCAGACUCCUACGGGAGGCAGCAGUGGGGAUUAUUGCACAAGGGGCGCAAGCCUGAUGCAGCCAUGCCGCGUGUAUGAAGAAGGCCUUCGGGUUGUAAAGUCCUUUCAGCGGGGAGGAAGGGAGUAAAGUUAAUACCUUUGCUCAUUGACGUUACCCGCAGAAGAAGCACCGGCUAACUCCGU